Molecule: ribosomal RNA, 253 nt
Filed under: uncultured bacterium
Lineage: Bacteria
Description: partial 16S ribosomal RNA
Rfam family: Bacterial small subunit ribosomal RNA
Source: RNAcentral
UACGUAGGGGGCUAGCGUUGUCCGGAAUCAUUGGGCGUAAAGCGCGUGUAGGCGGUCCGGUAAGUCCGCUGUGAAAGUCGGGGGCUCAACCCUCGAAUGCCGGUGGAUACUGUCGGGCUAGAGUGCGGAAGAGGCGAGUGGAAUUCCUGGUGUAGCGGUGAGAUGCGCAGAUAUCAGGAGGAACACCAAUUGCGAAGGCAGCUCGCUGGGACGUUACUGACGCUGAGACGCGAAAGCGUGGGGAGCAAACAGG